This 2888-nucleotide ribosomal RNA is filed under the name Helicobacter pylori. RNAcentral describes it as "bacterial LSU rRNA". It matches the Rfam family "Bacterial large subunit ribosomal RNA". The record is from RNAcentral. Lineage: Bacteria; Pseudomonadati; Campylobacterota; Epsilonproteobacteria; Campylobacterales; Helicobacteraceae.
AAAACAAGCUUUUAAGAGCAGAUGGCGGAUGCCUUGCCAAAGAGAGGCGAUGAAGGACGUACUAGACUGCGAUAAGCUAUGCGGAGCUGUCAAGGAGCUUUGAUGCGUAGAUGUCCGAAUGGGGCAACCCAACUAAUAGAGAUAUUAGUUACUCUUUAACAGAGAGCGAACCUAGUGAAGUGAAACAUCUCAGUAACUAGAGGAAAAGAAAUCAACGAGAUUCCCUAAGUAGUGGCGAGCGAACGGGGAAAAGGGCAAACCGAGUGCUUGCAUUCGGGGUUGAGGACUGCAACAUCCAAGAGAACGCUUUAGCAGAGUUACCUGGAAAGGUAAGCCAUAGAAAGUGAUAGCCUUGUAUGCGACAAGGCGUUUUUAGGUAGCAGUAUCCAGAGUAGGCCAGGACACGAGGAAUCCAGGUUGAAGCCGGGGAGACCACUCUCCAACCCUAAAUACUACUCUUUGAGCGAUAGCGAACAAGUACCGUGAGGGAAAGGUGAAAAGAACCGCAGUGAGCGGAGUGAAAUAGAACCUGAAACCAUCUGCUUACAAUCAUUCAGAGCCCUAUGAUUUAUCAGGGUGAUGGACUGCCUUUUGCAUAAUGAUCCUGCGAGUUGUGGUAUCUGGCAAGGUUAAGCGAAUGCGAAGCCGUAGCGAAAGCGAGUCUUAAUAGGGCGAACAAGUCAGAUGCUGCAGACCCGAAGCUAAGUGAUCUAUCCAUGGCCAAGUUGAAACGCGUGUAAUAGCGCGUGGAGGACUGAACUCGUACCCAUUGAAACGGGUUGGGAUGAGCUGUGGAUAGGGGUGAAAGGCCAAACAAACUUAGUGAUAGCUGGUUCUCUUCGAAAUAUAUUUAGGUAUAGCCUCAAGUGAUAAUAAAAGGGGGUAGAGCGCUGAUUGGGCUAGGGCUGCUCGCCGCGGUACCAAACCCUAUCAAACUUCGAAUACCUUUUAUCGUAUCUUGGGAGUCAGGCGGUGGGUGAUAAAAUCAAUCGUCAAAAGGGGAACAACCCAGACUACCAAAUAAGGUCCCUAAGUUCUAUUCUGAGUGGAAAAAGAUGUGUGGCUACUCAAACAACCAGGAGGUUGGCUUAGAAGCAGCCAUCCUUUAAAGAAAGCGUAACAGCUCACUGGUCUAGUGGUCAUGCGCUGAAAAUAUAACGGGGCUAAGAUAGACACCGAAUUUGUAGAUUGUGUUUGACACAGUGGUAGAAGAGCGUUCAUACCAGCGUUGAAGGUAUACCGGUAAGGAGUGCUGGAGCGGUAUGAAGUGAGCAUGCAGGAAUGAGUAACGAUAAGAUAUAUGAGAAUUGUAUCCGCCGUAAAUCUAAGGUUUCCUACGCGAUGGUCGUCAUCGUAGGGUUAGUCGGGUCCUAAGCCGAGUCCGAAAGGGGUAGGUGAUGGCAAAUUGGUUAAUAUUCCAAUACCGACUAUGGAGCGUGAUGGGGGGACGCAUAGGGUUAAGCGAGCUAGCUGAUGGAAGCGCUAGUCUAAGGGCGUAGAUUGGAGGGAAGGCAAAUCCACCUCUGUAUUUGAAACCCAAACAGGCUCUUUGAGUCCUUUUAGGACAAAGGGAGAAUCGCUGAUACCGUCGUGCCAAGAAAAGCCUCUAAGCAUAUCCAUAGUCGUCCGUACCGCAAACCGACACAGGUAGAUGAGAUGAGUAUUCUAAGGCGCGUGAAAGAACUCUGGUUAAGGAACUCUGCAAACUAGCACCGUAAGUUCGCGAUAAGGUGUGCCACAGCAAUGUGGUCUCAGCAAAGAGUCCCUCCCGACUGUUUACCAAAAACACAGCACUUUGCCAACUCGUAAGAGGAAGUAUAAGGUGUGACGCCUGCCCGGUGCUCGAAGGUUAAGAGGAUGCGUCAGUCGCAAGAUGAAGCGUUGAAUUGAAGCCCGAGUAAACGGCGGCCGUAACUAUAACGGUCCUAAGGUAGCGAAAUUCCUUGUCGGUUAAAUACCGACCUGCAUGAAUGGCGUAACGAGAUGGGAGCUGUCUCAACCAGAGAUUCAGUGAAAUUGUAGUGGAGGUGAAAAUUCCUCCUACCCGCGGCAAGACGGAAAGACCCCGUGGACCUUUACUACAACUUAGCACUGCUAAUGGGAAUAUCAUGCGCAGGAUAGGUGGGAGGCUUUGAAGUAAGGGCUUUGGCUCUUAUGGAGCCAUCCUUGAGAUACCACCCUUGAUGUUUCUGUUAGCUAACUGGCCUGUGUUAUCCACAGGCAGGACAAUGCUUGGUGGGUAGUUUGACUGGGGCGGUCGCCUCCUAAAAAGUAACGGAGGCUUGCAAAGGUUGGCUCAUUGCGGUUGGAAAUCGCAAGUUGAGUGUAAUGGCACAAGCCAGCCUGACUGUAAGACAUACAAGUCAAGCAGAGACGAAAGUCGGUCAUAGUGAUCCGGUGGUUCUGUGUGGAAGGGCCAUCGCUCAAAGGAUAAAAGGUACCCCGGGGAUAACAGGCUGAUCUCCCCCAAGAGCUCACAUCGACGGGGAGGUUUGGCACCUCGAUGUCGGCUCAUCGCAUCCUGGGGCUGGAGCAGGUCCCAAGGGUAUGGCUGUUCGCCAUUUAAAGCGGUACGCGAGCUGGGUUCAGAACGUCGUGAGACAGUUCGGUCCCUAUCUGCCGUGGGCGUAGGAAAGUUGAGGAGAGCUGUCCCUAGUACGAGAGGACCGGGAUGGACGUGUCACUGGUGCACCAGUUGUUCUGCCAAGAGCAUCGCUGGGUAGCUACACACGGAUGUGAUAACUGCUGAAAGCAUCUAAGCAGGAAGCCAACUCCAAGAUAAACUUUCCCUGAAGCUCGCACAAAGACUAUGUGCUUGAUAGGGUAGAUGUGUAAGCGCAGUAAUGCGUUUAGCUGACUACUACUAAUAGAGCGUUUGGCUUGUUUUU